UUCCAGACUCCUACGGGAGGCAGCAGUGAGGAAUAUUGGUCAAUGGGCGGAAGCCUGAACCAGCCAAGUCGCGUGAGGUAAGAAGGCCCUGCGGGUCGCAGACCUCUUUGGACGGGGAGCAAGGCCGCCGACGUGUCGGCGGAAGGAGAGUACCCGUAGAACAAGCAUCGGCUAACUCCGUGCCAGCAGCCGCGGUAAUACGUAGGGGGCGAGCGUUAUCCGGAUUUACUGGGUGUAAAGGGAGCGUAGACGGCGUCGCAAGUCUGAAGUGAAAGCCCGUGGCUCAACCGCGGAACCGCUUUGGAAACUGCGAGGCUGGAGUGCUGGAGAGGUAAGCGGAAUUCCUGGUGUAGCGGUGAAAUGCGUAGAUAUCAGGAGGAACACCGGUGGCGAAGGCGGCUUACUGGACAGUGACUGACGUUGAGGCUCGAAAGCGUGGGGAGCGAACAGGAUUAGAUACCCCAGUA
Molecule: ribosomal RNA, 467 nt
Filed under: uncultured bacterium
Lineage: Bacteria
Description: bacterial SSU rRNA
Rfam family: Bacterial small subunit ribosomal RNA
Source: RNAcentral